RNAcentral lists this ribosomal RNA (450 nucleotides) under uncultured bacterium. RNAcentral's name for it is "partial 16S ribosomal RNA". It matches the Rfam family "Bacterial small subunit ribosomal RNA", at positions 354 to 796 of the family's 1533-position model. The record is from RNAcentral.
GUGGGGAAUAUUGGACAAUGGGCGAAAGCCUGAUCCAGCCAUGCCGCGUGUGUGAAGAAGGUCUUCGGAUUGUAAAGCACUUUAAGUUGGGAGGAAGGGCAGUAAGUUAAUACCUUGCUGUUUUGACGUUACCAACAGAAUAAGCACCGGCUAACUUCGUGCCAGCAGCCGCGGUAAUACGAAGGGUGCAAGCGUUAAUCGGAAUUACUGGGCGUAAAGCGCGCGUAGGUGGUUCAGCAAGUUGGAGGUGAAAUCCCCGGGCUCAACCUGGGAACUACCUCCAAAACUACUGAGCUAGAGUACGGUAGAGGGUAGUGGAAUUUCCUGUGUAGCGGUGAAAUGCGUAGAUAUAGGAAGGAACACCAGUGGCGAAGGCGACUACCUGGACUGAUACUGACACUGAGGUGCGAAAGCGUGGGGAGCAAACAGGAUUAGAAACCCUUGUAGUCC